CCCUUAGAUGUCCUGGGCCGCACGCGCGCUACACUGAUGCGUUCAACGAGUUCUACCUUGGCCGAGAGGCCUGGGCAAUCUUUUGAACCUGCAUCGUGAUAGGGAUAGAUUAUUGCAAUUAUUAAUCUUGAACGAGGAAUUCCUAGUAAACGCAGAUCAUCAAUCUGCAUUGAUUACGUCCCUGCCCUUUGUACACACCGCCCGUCGCACCUACCGAUUGAAUGGUCCGGUGAAGCCUCGGGAUUGUGGCGAGUUCCCUUUAUUGGGAGUUUGUCGCGAGAACUUGUCUAAACCUUAUCAUUUAGAGGAAGGUGAAGUCGUAACA
RNAcentral lists this ribosomal RNA (325 nucleotides) under uncultured eukaryote. RNAcentral describes it as "partial 18S ribosomal RNA". It matches the Rfam family "Eukaryotic small subunit ribosomal RNA", at positions 1470 to 1796 of the family's 1831-position model. The record is from RNAcentral.